Molecule: ribosomal RNA, 300 nt
Filed under: uncultured Oleiphilaceae bacterium
Lineage: Bacteria; Pseudomonadati; Pseudomonadota; Gammaproteobacteria; Oceanospirillales; Oleiphilaceae
Description: bacterial SSU rRNA
Rfam family: Bacterial small subunit ribosomal RNA
Source: RNAcentral
CGCGUAGGAAACUGCCUGAUAGUGGGGGAGUAGCCCAGAGAAAUUUGGAUUAAUACCGCAUACGCUCUACGGAGGAAAGCGGGCUUCGGCUCGCGCUAUCAGAUGUGCCUGCGUGAGAUUAGCUAGUUGGUGAGGUAAAGGCUCACCAAGGCAACGAUCUCUAGCUGGUCUGAGAGGAUGAUCAGCCACACUGGAACUGAGACACGGUCCAGACUCCUACGGGAGGCAGCAGUGGGGAAUAUUGCACAAUGGGCGCAAGCCUGAUGCAGCCAUACCGCGUGUGUGAAGAAGGCUUUCGGG